This 71-nucleotide transfer RNA is filed under the name Marmota monax (woodchuck). Its description in RNAcentral is "tRNA.Pro". It matches the Rfam family "tRNA". From Rfam's summary of the family: Transfer RNA (tRNA) molecules are approximately 80 nucleotides in length. Their secondary structure includes four short double-helical elements and three loops (D, anti-codon, and T loops). The record is from RNAcentral. Lineage: Eukaryota; Metazoa; Chordata; Mammalia; Rodentia; Sciuridae.
GGGGUUGUGGCUCAGAGGUAGAGCACUUGCCCAGGACGCAUGAGGCACUGGGUUUGAUUCUCAGCACCACA